Molecule: long non-coding RNA, 217 nt
Filed under: Lathyrus oleraceus (garden pea)
Lineage: Eukaryota; Viridiplantae; Streptophyta; Magnoliopsida; Fabales; Fabaceae
Description: Pisum sativum (pea) long non-coding RNA (PSAT_LNC011892)
Source: RNAcentral
GGAGAUCCUCACACAAGUACUCCUCACGUCACUCUCACUCCAUUCAAAAAAGUUCCACUCAUUAAUAUUAUUGCUUUUUCUCUCAGACUCUCUCUCUCUGGUGCUCUAAGGCAAUAAAAAGAAAACGAAAAAUGAAAAAAGAAAGAAGAAACCUUUUCCUUUUCUCCUUCACUCCCUCAUUCACCUCUCUCUGCUCUCUCACGAAAAAAGAUCAUUU